Molecule: ribosomal RNA, 492 nt
Filed under: uncultured bacterium
Lineage: Bacteria
Description: partial 16S ribosomal RNA
Rfam family: Bacterial small subunit ribosomal RNA
Source: RNAcentral
AGUGAACGCUGGCGGUAGGCCUAACACAUGCCAGUCGAACGGCAGCACAGUAAGAGCUUGCUCUUACGGGUGGCGAGUGGCGGACGGGUGAGGAAUACAUCGGAAUCUACUUUUUCGUGGGGGAUAACGUAGGGAAACUUACGCUAAUACCGCAUACGACCUACGGGUGAAAGCAGGGGAUCUUCGGACCUUGCGCGAUUGAAUGAGCCGAUGUCGGAUUAGCUAGUUGGCGGGGUAAAGGCCCACCAAGGCGACGAUCCGUAGCUGGUCUGAGAGGAUGAUCAGCCACACUGGAACUGAGACACGGUCCAGACUCCUACGGGAGGCAGCAGUGGGGAAUAUUGGACAAUGGGCGCAAGCCUGAUCCAGCUAUACCGCGUGGGUGAGGAAGGCCUUCGGGUUGUAAAGCCCUUUUGUUGGGAAAGAAAAGCAGCAGGUUAAUACCCCGCUGUUCUGACGGUACCCAAAGAAUAAGCACCGGCUAACUUCGUG